Misgurnus anguillicaudatus (oriental weatherfish) is the source of this 2671-nucleotide non-coding RNA. The record is from RefSeq and is a predicted model, not a curated record. NCBI's taxonomy places the organism in Eukaryota, Metazoa, Chordata, Actinopteri, Cypriniformes, Cobitidae.
GAUAGAUAGAUAGAUAGAUAAGAUAGAUAGACAGAUAGAUAGACAGACAGACAGAUGGAUAGGCUAGUAUAGAGAGAUAGGCAGACAGCCAGAUAGCAUAAGGUUAGCAUAUCUUCGUGUAGAAAGUAAACAAACAAUUAACAUACUCGUGCAUGCUGGCUUGAGGGGGUCCAUGAUCCUGCCUGAAAUGGGUGUAACUUUAUGCGAUCUUCAGCACAAACGGUUUUGGCAGCAUGUCUCUAAUCCUGGAAGGUGAGUGAAGCACGUCACGUCUGUUCGCGGGGACCAGCGACCCAAACGCACUCACUUUCUAACAGCCAGUAGCGGAAUGGCAAUCGAGAGAGUCGGGACUUUCCCGGGCCGAUCUGAUAAUAGUUAUACAUUUCGAGUUAUAUUAGCAACACCGUCUGGCGGCGUGAUGUGCGCCGGUUCCCGCAGCCCGCUGGUCAAACUGUGCAGGCAGCCUCUCUGCUCAAUAAAGUAUAUAAAAGUGCUCAACCUGUUCGGCAGGUCCAAACAUGUACAGGAUUUAUAAAAAUACGGUGAUCAAUGAGCGGUUCCUCCUCAAAUGGCUUAGCCUGUCGUGAUGUAAAAAGCCGCCGAACGCCUGUUUAUUACAGUAUGUAUGCGGUCGGAUCCGAGUGUGCUGCAGCUGCUGACUGCUUCUGCGUAUAAAAUGAUCGUGUGAUUCGUUAUAAUCGCAUAAACAAUAUAACAAAGCAUCCUUUUAUUUCACAAAACAAUAUAUUUGAGAUAUUAUUUGAUAGACUACUAAGUGUGGAUUAAGGAUGUUUAAAAAUCUCUAGCCUGGUGGUCAGGACAUGAAUGGAUCAAAUCAGCAGAUUUGCGAAGUUUUAUUUAUCUCCACAUAUAUCAUAAAUAAUAAUUAGCAAGGUAACUUUGCAGUAUAACACAUUAUAUAUUUCCUACGAUGUAUAUAUGAUUUCCAAAUUAUAUAUGUAAGUAUUAAACAGCAAUAAAUGUCUCAUCUAUCUCUAUGGCUCUGGCUGAGUCUUUCUCCACUUCUCCCCAACGUGACGUCAUCGCAGAAUUGCGUUAAAAAAACCGUUAAUACCAAAAACGUAAAAAAAGUGGUCUUUAAGACCAUUUUUGAGACAUUUUAAAAAUUAUACACAUAUCUUGAGUGAUUUAUGUACCCAUUAAUCGACAGUGGUGGUUAACCUGCAACAUACACUUUAACAACACGCAGUUGACGGUAAUUUACCUCACUGUUGUGAACAAGAUAGUUAGAGAGCUUUGAGGUAGAAACUCGUUUAAGACUGAAGAAAACGCAACUUUCUGUGCAUAUAAUCAUAUUUAAUUAUUUUCUUCCCCUUUUUAGAACAUUUCACCAUCAACAUAUUAACAUAAACGGUUCUCUUUUUCUUGUUUGACUGCGUUUGGUACAGGUCACAACAACGACGGCAGAUGUAGAGACCACGCUUUCCCUUGCUUCCACUCCACGGCUGAUCAUGCUUGAGGAUCCAGAUCUACAAAACAAAAAAUGGAUGCUGCCGAUUGAAGGCUAAGUCCGCUUUCCUGCGAUUGACCUACCAUUUCUUCAGCAUUUGCUGUUCACUUUGGUUGCUACUACGUGCUCAACAUCGAGUACCAUGUGCAAGCAGCCACUACUUUGGAGUUUAUUCAGAGAUUUAUUGUGAGGAUCAGCCCCGACAACAGCAAGUGCUCCUCUAACUUCCAGGUGAGCAAAAGAAGUGGGAAGAUGGUGCAAAGGAAGAACUCUGGCCUGAACCAUCAUGUAUAUAUCCACCUUUAUUAAGGACUUUAUGAAUUAAGCAAAACUAUUAAGCAACUAAAGCAAAUACAUUCUACUCAACUCACCAGAGACGGUUUCAUCGGACGCACAUGACACACGUCUGGAUCCGAUCCUUACUUCCGGUUUCGCUUUUUUAAUGGUCUGACUAGUUGCUAAACUGAUCUCUUGAAAAAAAGCCUCGUUGAAAAUAACAAAUGUUUUGGUUUCCGAGCUAAUCUAUGUGUUGUUUUUUUGCUUGUUAUAUAAAUAAAAUGCGUUUAAAGAACUUUGUUGUUUUUUAUUCUUAGCGGAGUUUAUCGGAAGUUCAUGCGGACCGCGACAGCCGCUUGUUUAUGAUGUUACUGCUGAAACCGUCUAUAGUUAUAACUGAAUUUGUACUAGUAUUAUUUGAUAAUACUGUGAAAUGAAACAGUGAGUAAAUGUUACAUUGGCUUUGAAAAAGCUGUUGCUGCAAGAAAUUACAAUUUACUCAGAAUAAUAUUUUGAAUGUAUAAGUUUUUGACAUUGUUUAUGACUGCAUUUGAAUGUAUUGUUCAUGAAUUGAUGCUGUGAUAUGUGUGUGUAAAUGUUUUGUAUUUUACUCAGGAAAGUAUUUUGUAUUUGAACAUUGUUAUUAUGACUGAGUUAGUUCAUGACUUGAUUUAAAAUUCUGUAAUAUGAUAUCUAUGAGUAAAUGUUAUUGCAGGUUUAAGAAAAACAGUUUGUGAUGCAAGCUGAAAGUUCAGUGUGCAAAAAAUAUGAAAAUCUGAUUUCAUGUAUUUGAAAAACUAAAAGAAAUUUUAAAAACAUGUUGUCAUUGCUUAUUUUUGUUAUUUACUUAGAGCUGUUUUAACACCUCCAUUUAAAUUUUGUGCAGUUUUGUAGUAAAUAGAAAUGGGAAAAUGAAUCACAGGA